Molecule: RNA transcript, 1272 nt
Organism: Rhinopithecus roxellana (golden snub-nosed monkey)
Lineage: Eukaryota; Metazoa; Chordata; Mammalia; Primates; Cercopithecidae
Gene name: casein kinase I pseudogene
Exons: 2
Source: RefSeq, a predicted model, not a curated record
AUGGCGUCGUCGGCAGACGGCAUCAGGUUCCCUUCGCCGGCAUCUGGGCCCUGGACGCCAGGAAAGGCCUCCUUGUUCCGCUUCCUGCCGCCUUCCACGGUAGGCUUGGCCCAGCCUCCAUCUUCGUCUCUCAGGACGGCUAGCAGCAGCGGCUCUAAGGCAGGAUUCAUUGUCGGAAGGAAAUGUAAACUGGUAUGGGAGAUCUGUUCUGGCUCCUUCGGAGACAUCUAUCUGGCGAUCAGCAUCAUUAAGGGUGAAGAAGUGGCAGUGAAGCUAGGAUCUCACAAUGCCAGGCAUCCCCAGUUGCUGUACAAGAGCAGGCUCUAUAAGAUUCUUCAAGGUGGGGUUGGCAUCCGCCACAUAACGGUGGUAUGGUCAGGAAAAAGACUAUAAUGUACUAGUCAUGGAUUUUCUGGGACCUAGCCUUGAAGACCAAUUUCUGUUCAAGACGGUUCACAAUGAAAACUGUACUUAUAUUAGCUGACCAGAUGAUCAGUAGAAUUGAACAUGUGCAUGCAAAGAAUUUUAUACACAGAGCCAUUAAACCAGAUGACUUCCUAAUGGGUAUUGGGCGUCACUGUAGUAAGUUAUUCCUUAUUGAUUUUGGUUUGGCCAAAAAGUACAGAGACAACAGGACAAGGCAACACAUGCCAUACAGAGAAGAUAAAAAUCUCACUGGCACUGCCCUAUAUGCUACUAUCAGUGCACAUCUUGGUAUUGAGCAGAGUCACCAGGAUGACAUGGAAUCAUUAGGAUAUGUUUUGAUGUAUGUUAAUAGAACCAGCCUGCCAUGGCGACGGCUAAAGGCUGCAACAAAGAAACAAAAAUAUGAAAAGAUUAGUGAAAAGAUGUCCACUCCUGCUGAAGUUUUAUGUAAGGGGUUUCCUGCAGAAUUUGCCAUAUACUUAAACUAUUGUCGUGGGCUACACUUUGAGAAAGCCCCAGAUUGCAUGUAUCUGAAGCAGCUAUUCUGCAUUCUUUUCAGGACCCUGAGCCAUCAAUAUGACUACACAUUUGAUUGGACAAUGUUAAAGCAGAAAGCAGCACAGCAGGCAGCCUCUUCUACUGGGCAGGGGCAGCAGGCCCAAACCCCAACAGGUAAGCAACCUGAUAAAACCAAGAGUAACAUGAAAGGUUUCUAAGCAUGAAUUGAGGAACAGAAGAAGCAGAGCAGAUGAUCAGAGCAGCAUUUGUUUCUCCCCAAAUCUAGAAAUUUUAGUUCAUAUGUACACUAGCCAGUGAUCAUGGACAACCAUUUACUUGGUGUAAAGA